UUUGUUGUUGUUAUUAUUAUUAUUAAAUCUAUUAAUCUUAAAAUUGAUUAUAUUUUAAUUUAUUUGUUAUUGAUUAAAGUUAAAUGUCAUGUUCUUGCAUAUAUGUGAGUGAAUAGCAAUUAAGAGGGGGUAGGGGGGGGACAAUAUUUAAACUUAUACAUGAGAAUUACUGUUGUUGUUGUUCUUUUUAUAUAUUUGCAUUUCGUUCUUAAAAUGUUGAUUAUUGCCAAAAAGUAAUUGUGGCAGCAGCAGGGGGAAGAAGUUUAUAUAAAUUUCUACAACUAUCUUUCAAUAAUCUUGUUAGAAGCUUAAAAUCUAAAGGGGGAAAAUUGCUGAUUUUUUCUGUUCUUUCCCAACAUACCAAAAAUACAAUACAGCUUGAGAACAAUAUUAUAAAAAUAUAAUUUUUCAACAAUGCUUGAGAAACACUUAUGUUCCACAAACAUUUCUCAAAUCUGUCCUUUCCCAACAUACCAAAAAUACAAUACAGCUUGAGAAUAAUAUUAUGAAAAUAGUUUAUCAUAAGAAUUUUUCAACAAUGCUUGAGAAACACUUUUUUGCACAAACUUUUCUCAAAUCUGUCCUUUGUUGACAAAUUUGUUUUGAUUUUUUUUUGUGAAAAUUGUCAACAAAAAAUUAUUUUCUUUGGUUAAAAUCAAAAUCACGCGAAUUUAGGACCCAUUUCCGGACGAAACUCUAAGAAUGGAGGCGUCAAAAAGUUGCAGGAAUUCAACAGAAGUGAAGAAUAAGUGGAGGAGAUACAGAAGCUCAAAUAAGGGGAAAGAAAGCAUCUAGGUAUCAAGGCAACAGGAUGCAGUGACAGCUGGGAUGGCAAUCAAUGAAUGAAAUGUGUAAAAUAAUUAAAAAAUGAAUAAAUAAAUAUUUUUUACCAUUGAAAAAAUAAGCUUUAUAAAAUAUUACUUUCGUAAGCUUAUUCUGCAAUUACAAGAAUAAGCUUAUGAAUAAGGGUUCCUUUUCGAUUAUUCUAUAAUUGUUAAACAAACAUUUCUCAAUACAUUCUCAAGAUUUUCUCAAGCUUUAGGCUUAUGUUUGUAAGCUUAUUAAAAUAUUAUUCUCAAGUCAAUUUGGUAUGUUGGGUUGUUGACAAAUUACUUUUAAUUUUUUGUGAAAAUUGUCAGCAAGAAAUUGUUUUCUUUCAUAAAAGAAAACCAAAUCACGCGAAUUUAGGACCCAUUUCUGAACCGAACCCUUAAGAUUGGAAGCAUCAAAAAAGUUGCAGGAAUUCAAUACAUGUGUAGUCUUAGUGGAAGAGAUGCAGAAGUUCAAAUAAGGGAGAAG
This is a long non-coding RNA of Musca domestica (house fly), 1299 nucleotides long. RefSeq lists it as uncharacterized. NCBI's taxonomy places the organism in Eukaryota, Metazoa, Arthropoda, Insecta, Diptera, Muscidae. The transcript has 3 exons. The record is from RefSeq and is a predicted model, not a curated record.